AUGCACUUGGCAAAUCGCACCACAAACGUACAACUUUAUCGCAGAUCCCACUUUCGUAAAAAGGAAACUGGUUUGGUCUAAACUAACUGUAGCCGUUCGAUCUGAAUCUAACGGUACACAUCACGCGUGUGUACUUAUGACACGUUCAAUCUGCGACACGCACUCACUUUCUCUUUCCUCCUCCUCCUCUCUCUCCCCUGCGACUCCCGGUGGUCGAGAAACCCCAACCACCUCCAAAACACCGUCGUUUCAAUUUCCGAACGUUACUGCUCACGCGCGUUUUUCCAUCGUUCGGUUAGAGUAUACGAUCCAUGGUCAGUACAUUUACCAAUGAAUCAGACACACAAUAACAUAGCAGUAUAAAUUGUCUCAAAUGGAUGUUCACGUGAUAAAUGUUGAAGACGAGAGUGAUCAUCAAGCUAGGGCAGAUGAUGGGGAUACAGAACCUAGUGAUGGUGAAAUUAAUAAUGCUGAAAGCUUUGGAUUUUAUGUUGAGGAUGGGAUUUCUGAGCCAUAUUUGGGUAUGGAAUUUGAUUCAGAAGAUGUUGCCAAGACUUUCUACGAUGAGUACGCGAAACACAUGGGUUUCAGCUCUAAAGUUGGUUCACGUACUCGCUCUAAAGCUGAUGGGCCAAAUAUGUAUGUGGAGUUUGUGUGUGGAAGGGAAGGUUUAAAAAAAAGGUUUAAUGACAGUUGUGAUGCAAUGAUUAGGAUUGAGCUAAAGGAUCAAAAUAAAUGGGUUGUAACCAAAUUGGUGAAGGAACAUAGUCAUUCAAUGGUGAAUUCCAGCAAGACACAAAACCUGCAUCCACGUAAGCAUUUUUCCAGUGUUGGAAGGACUAUGCCUGAAACUUAUCAAGGAGUUGGACUUGUUCCAAGUGGUGUCCUGUAUGUAUCUAUGGAUGGGAAUCACAUUUCUAAUCAGAAUACUUGUGGGAUGCUGAAUAUUCAUGCUGCCAAUGUCGCGGAACCAAGUCAGCCUGUUAAAAAUGCCACAUUGAUGAAUUAUACUACUAGGGCGCCUUUCCAAAACAGAACAUUAGGGAAGGAUGCUCAUAAUCUGCUGGAGUAUUUUAAGAAAAUGCAGGCUGAGAAUCCUGGUUUCUUCUAUGCUAUACAACUCGAUGAAGACAAUCAUAUGUCUAAUGUCUUUUGGGCAGAUGCCCGAUCCAGGACAGCUUACAGUCAUUUUGGUGAUGCAGUUCAUCUAGACACCACAUACAGAGUUAACCAGUACAAAGUGCCAUUUGCUCCUUUUACUGGAGUGAACCAUCAUGGUCAGACGGUUUUGUUUGGUUGUGCACUUCUUUUGGACGAUUCCGAGGCUUCUUUAUUGUGGCUCUUCAAGACAUUUCUCACAGCAAUGAAUGCCCGACAACCUGUCUCUAUAACUACUGAUCAAGACAGAGCUAUACAGGCAGCAGCUUCACAAGUUUUCCCACAAGCUCGUCACUGUAUUAACAUGUGGCAUGUCUUGAGAGAAGGCCAGGAAAAGUUGGCCCAUGUAUGUCUAGCGCAUCCAAAUUUUCAGGGUGAACUUUAUAAUUCUAUCAACCUGACAGAAACCAUUGAGGAGUUUGAGUCAUCUUGGAAUUCUAUCCUUGAUAAAUAUGAACUCAGAAGAAAUGACUGGCUUCAGUCAUUGUAUAAUGCUCGUGCUCAAUGGGUUCCAGCAUAUUUCCGUGAUUCAUUUUUUGCUGCAAUAUCUCCUAAUCAAGGAUUUGGUGGUUCUUUUUUUUAUGGUUAUGUCAACCCAUUGAUGACAUUGCCGUUGUUCUUUAGGCAGUAUGAAAGAGCUGUAGAGAGCUGGAUUGAAAAGGAAAUAGAAGCAGACUUUGAGACAAUUUGCACAACACCAGAUUUGAAGACACCUUCACCAAUGGAGAAACAGGCUGCUAACCUCUAUACAAAAAAAAUAUUUCUGAAGUUUCAGGAAGAGCUAGUCGAAACUUUUGUUUAUACUGCAAAUAUAAUUGAAGGAGAUGAGGUAAAUAGCACAUUCAAGGUUGCGAAAUUUGAGGAUGUCCACAAGGCAUACAUUGUUGCAUUUAACCAUGCUGAAUUGAGAGCUAGCUGUAGUUGCCAAAUGUUUGAGUAUUCAGGCAUUCUUUGCAGGCAUAUCUUAACUGUUUUCACUAUGACAAAUGUACUUACAUUACCAUCUCAUUACAUCUUAAAACGGUGGACAAGAAAUGCAAAGAGUAGUGCCGGAUUGGAUGAACGUACUGCUGAAUUACAUGGAAAGGAGUCUCUGACAUCGAGGUACAGCAAUCUAUGCAGGGAAGCCAUCAGAUAUGCUGAGGAAGGGGCAGUAACUGUUGAAACUUUUAAUGCUGCAAUGACUGGUCUUAAAGAUGGUGGAAAGAAGGUUGCUGCAAUGAAAAGAAGUGUUGCCAAAGCUACACCUAAUAAUCAGGCCAGUGGGACUACUUAUAAUGACAAAAAAACUACCAAUUCAACUUUGGAUACAACUCCUCUUUUGUGGCCUCGACAAGAUGAAGUAACAAGGAGGUUUAAUCUUAAUGAUUCUGGUGGUCCAGUUCAAUCAGUUGCUGACCUAAAUUUUCCACGAAUGGCCCCGGUGUCUCUUCAUCGAGAUGAUGUUCCAUCUGGAAAUAUGGUGGUUCUUCCAUGCCUAAAAUCAAUGACAUGGGUAAUGGAGAACAAAAACUCAAGUCCACAGAAUAAAGUAGCUGUAAUCAAUCUGAAGUUGCAAGAUUAUAGUCGGACUCCAUCAAAAGAAUCUGAGGUUAAGUUUCAGCUCUCAAGAGUUUCUUUGGAACCAAUGCUGAAGUCUAUGGCCUACAUCAGUGAACAGCUCUCAAGACCAGCAAAUAAGGUUGCUGUAAUAAAUCUCAAGCUUCAAGAUGCGGAUACAACGUCCGGUGAGUCUGAAGUAAAGUUUCAGGUGUCCAGGGAUACAUUGGGUGCCAUGCUACGAUCAAUGGCCUAUAUCCGUGAGCAACUAUCUCAUGCUGGGCCAUGCAAUUUGGACUCCCAAAUUUACGAAAUGGCAGUUUAGUUAUUCAAAUUGAAGUCUGACAAUCAAUUCAGUUCCUCCGUCAAUCAAUUUUGAUGAAUCUAGAUUGCAAAUAGAGAUCAAUGGAAGCCUUAAACAAAUUUUUGGAUACAUGCUCCAACUGAACAUUCCCUAGACGUGCUAACUAAGCAUUUUUGUCUUUAUUGGAUGAAAGAGAGACUGAAUUGAUUCGCGACCUUCAAUUUCAGGGACUACUUUGUAGUUUCCUAAAUUUGGAGAUUGAAUUGUCUGACCUCUACAAUUUUGAGAACCAAAAUGGGCGAGGCGCAAUCAGAACCUCUGUUGAAAAAGCAUAGGAAGUAAAGCAUCAAAUUUUGCUGUCUUAUUAAUGGACGUGCAAUGAUCAUUGAAUACAAAAAAACAUAGAAAUUAGUGUGGUUAGCUUCUUUUUCCAAGUUUGUUCUCUAACAUAUACACUAUAUAUCCCAGGCACUAGCUUUAUUUUAGAUUUGCUCCCUUCAUCCUCUUUUUUGGUCCAACACCCACCCAUUCACCUUACAACCACAAAUGAUGUAUAGGGUUUAUGAAUUUGGAUCUAAGAAAGGUAAAUAGUGUGUUUUCUCCACUUUUGCUAUUUAAAAACACUCAAUAUUUUUUGAUAGUGCACAUCUUGAUAACACAAA
RNA transcript from Cicer arietinum (chickpea), 3663 nucleotides. It is a transcript of the gene named protein FAR1-RELATED SEQUENCE 3-like, with no coding region annotated. The record is from RefSeq and is a predicted model, not a curated record. NCBI's taxonomy places the organism in Eukaryota, Viridiplantae, Streptophyta, Magnoliopsida, Fabales, Fabaceae.